This 863-nucleotide ribosomal RNA is filed under the name Bacillus thuringiensis. RNAcentral's name for it is "bacterial SSU rRNA". It matches the Rfam family "Bacterial small subunit ribosomal RNA", at positions 88 to 926 of the family's 1533-position model. The record is from RNAcentral. Lineage: Bacteria; Bacillati; Bacillota; Bacilli; Caryophanales; Bacillaceae.
GAAGUUAGCGGCGGACGGGUGAGUAACACGUGGGUAACCUGCCCAUAAGACUGGGAUAACUCCGGGAAACCGGGGCUAAUACCGGAUAACAUUUUGAACUGCAUGGUUCGAAAUUGAAAGGCGGCUUCGGCUGUCACUUAUGGAUGGACCCGCGUCGCAUUAGCUAGUUGGUGAGGUAACGGCUCACCAAGGCAACGAUGCGUAGCCGACCUGAGAGGGUGAUCGGCCACACUGGGACUGAGACACGGCCCAGACUCCUACGGGAGGCAGCAGUAGGGAAUCUUCCGCAAUGGACGAAAGUCUGACGGAGCAACGCCGCGUGAGUGAUGAAGGCUUUCGGGUCGUAAAACUCUGUUGUUAGGGAAGAACAAGUGCUAGUUGAAUAAGCUGGCACCUUGACGGUACCUAACCAGAAAGCCACGGCUAACUACGUGCCAGCAGCCGCGGUAAUACGUAGGUGGCAAGCGUUAUCCGGAAUUAUUGGGCGUAAAGCGCGCGCAGGUGGUUUCUUAAGUCUGAUGUGAAAGCCCACGGCUCAACCGUGGAGGGUCAUUGGAAACUGGGAGACUUGAGUGCAGAAGAGGAAAGUGGAAUUCCAUGUGUAGCGGUGAAAUGCGUAGAGAUAUGGAGGAACACCAGUGGCGAAGGCGACUUUCUGGUCUGUAACUGACACUGAGGCGCGAAAGCGUGGGGAGCAAACAGGAUUAGAUACCCCUGGUAGUCCACGCCGUAAACGAUGAGUGCUAAGUGUUAGAGGGUUUCCGCCCUUUAGUGCUGAAGUUUAACGCAUUAAGCACUCCCCCCUGGGGGAGUACCGGCCGCCAAGGCUGAAAACUCAAAGGGAAUUNGACCGGGGGGCCCCC